This 253-nucleotide ribosomal RNA is filed under the name uncultured bacterium. RNAcentral's name for it is "partial 16S ribosomal RNA". It matches the Rfam family "Bacterial small subunit ribosomal RNA", at positions 524 to 776 of the family's 1533-position model. The record is from RNAcentral.
UACGGAGGAUCCAAGCGUUAUCCGGAAUCAUUGGGUUUAAAGGGUCCGUAGGCGGUUUAAUAAGUCAGUGGUGAAAGCCCAUCGCUCAACGGUGGAACGGCCAUUGAUACUGUUAAACUUGAAUUAUUAGGAAGUAACUAGAAUAUGUAGUGUAGCGGUGAAAUGCUUAGAGAUUACAUGGGAUACCAAUUGCGAAGGCAGGUUACUACUAAUGGAUUGACGCUGAUGGACGAAAGCGUGGGUAGCGAACAGG